GUGUAAAGAUCUGAUAGCUGCUUUUUGUUAAUUCAUUUAAGGACCUGGUAGCUUCUUUUGUGUUAUACUAGUUUCCCCUAUUUGAUCUGUGGGGUUGGCAUCUUGUUUAGGUAGCUGUUUUGGGUAAAAUCUGUCUUGUGUCACUUGCUGAUCUGUUUUCCACUCAUAAUUCCUGGGCUAUAGGGUCUUGAAGUAGAAGCAGACUUCAUGUUAACCAUCAACUCAUUUUCUGAAUUGUACCACUUCAGGCAAAUGUUAUCUUCCUGCUAGCUUCUGCUCUGGGACACCUGGGUGGCUUAGUUGGUUAAGUGUCAGACUUCAGCUCAGGUCAUGAUCUCCUGGUUUGUGGGUUCAAGCCCCGCAUCGGGCUCUGUGCUGACAGCUCAGAGCCUGGAGCCUGCUUCGGAUUCUGUGUCUCCCUCUCUCUCUGCUUCUCCCCCACUCAUGCUCUGUCUCUCUCUCUGUCUGUCUCUCAAAAAUAAAACAUUAAAAAAAUAAAAAAAAUCACUCUGCCCUUAUUUUUCUCUGUAUUGCAUUUAAAUGUAAGUUGCAGAUGGGUGAGGACAAUUCUCUUUUCUCCCAUCUCCUUCAAAAUGCAUCCCCUUGCAGUGCAAUUUGAUUGGCAUUUGUGCAGGAAGGUAUUAGCAACCUUUCAGAUAUGCCCUGCCCUAUUAGCAAGAAUAUACAGUGAUACAAAAAUGAAUUUGUCAAGAGUUUUAUGGCUUCAUGAUCUAUCGUACAAUAUUAAUCCUGCUGCAGUGUUAUUAAGUCAUUUUUCAUCUCCCCUCAAAUUAAUGUUGACGUUCUAUUACUGGAUUUGUUCUUGUCCCCAGAUUAAAACAUAAAGGAAAAAAAUCUUCCCUGCUACAAUAUUAAAAUUAAUUGUAGGGUAAGCAGUAUCUUGCUUGGUGAAGUAGAAUCUUUCUGGAAAAAUUAUAACAUGAAUUUAUUUCUCUGCUUUCUACUUGUUCUUGUACACAAAAAAGCACAAUUGGAAUAUACUUUUAAGAGUACAGAGAACAGAGCAAGGGAAGAGGGUAAAUUUAAAAUAUAUAAGGUUUUCCAAAAAGAGAAAUGAGAAAAUCAGGAGCUUGAGCCUGGGGGGACCCACACCUAGAGAGUGCUUCUAGCCUAUAGGCUGAUAGUAUUAGAUGGGUAGGUAGAAGAAUUAGGGCUGACUUAGGAUCCUAUUAUGUUCAUAGGAAUAACAUGUUUCUUCUAUUUUCAGAAAUUUAGGGGUACUUAAAGAUCAUAUGAUAAGGUCAUCACUUACAAAGGGUAGUGCCAAAAUCAGGAAUAAGAAGAGAGCUGUUACUAUUACUUAAGAAUUAAGACUAAAUGAUGCUCCUCUGUGAAUGUGUUUUUUCUUCUUAAAUCAUUUUCAUCCAUUUGAGAGCAGAUGUGAGUCUCAUGUCUGUGACUUCUGUAAUGAAAUCACAGGGUGUUUUGUUGACUUCUGGUCAUAGUUAGGUAAUCUGGUAUGUUAAUUGUUAAAGUAGAAGGAAUCCUACAGUAAUUAUUGAAACUGGGGGUAAAUUUACUUAAAAUGUUUAUUUAUAUUUUUGAAUGAAAGAAGUAAGUUGAAAUACAGUAUUUUAGUCUUAUAAAUCUGCAUUUACAUACAAAAUAUAACAUUUAUGUAUGGUAUAAAUUAUUUAUAGCAUUAUUUAAAUAUAAACACAUAUAACAUGAAUAAUAACUUUUUUCUUUGUAGAAAGGCAACAUGAGUUGUAUAAUAAAAAAUAUAGCCAAUUAUACAUUUUUGUAUUUGUAAAUGAUGUGUAAAUGGUGUAGCAACCUUUAAAAGGCUGAGUAUAGGGGGUAGGGAAAGGAAGUUUGAUAUUCAGUCUCUGGUAGGUUGGAAAAAUAAUCACUAUUUGUCAUUUGAGUACAGUGGAUAUUCAUAUUUUUAUAUUUUAAGUCAUUAUGAAAAAUAUACAAAAAUAAAGGAUAGUGAAAAAGGCUUUUAUGAAUUUUAAUUAGAUUUAAAUGUAGCACACUUUUUUAUCAUGUAAAUUUAGCCAUGUAAACAUCACAAAAGAUGAAAGAAUACAGUUACAUGUACUUUUUAGCAGAAUGGGGUGAUCUGUGUUCUUGUUGCAAAAGAUCAUGUGACAGAGUUCUUCCUAGUAAAUGACUAGAUGAGAAUACCAUAAUUUAUUUUUUACUUUUUAGAGAGAGAAUGAGAACAUGAGCAGGGGAGAGAGGUAGAGGGAGAGAAAGAAUUAAAAAAAAUUUUUUUUAAAUGUUUAUUUUUGAGAGAGGGAGGGAGCAGGGGAGGGGCAGAGAGAGAUACAGAAUCUGAAGCAGGCUCCAGGCUCUGAGCUGUCAGCACAGAGCCCAACAUGUGGCUUGAACCCACAAACCAUGAGAUCAUGACCUGAGUGGACACUUAGCUGACUGAGCCACCCAGGUGCCCCAAGAAUAUUCUGUUUUCUUUUUAACAUUAGAAAUACAUUCUUAACAGUCUAGAGUGCUUCUGUCUUUUUGCAAUCAUCUGAUUUGUCUAAUAAUUUUGAACCAUCUUUCUCUGUUAAUUUUCUUUGCCAUCUUUGGCAGAAAAUGAAAAAUUCUGAUUUCUCAGCUACAAUUAUUGGAAGGUAAAGCAGAUUACAAAGAUGGUAUCUUCAAGUCUUUAAUUUCUUCAUCUUUUUUUAAAAUUUAUUUAUUUAUUUUGAGAGAGAGAGAGAGCGAGCAAGCGAGCAUGCAGAAGCAGGGGAAAGGCAGAGAGAGAGAGGGAGAGAGAGAGAACCCCAAGCAGGCUCUGCACUGUCAGUAUGGAGCCCGAUGCUGGGGGCUUAGGAACUCACGAACGGGGAUAUGAUAUCAUGACUUGGGCUGAAAUCAAGAGUCGGGUGCUCUACCAACUGAGCCACCCAGGUGCCCUUUUAUUCCUUCUUGAAAGACGAUGCAAAUACUUUGUACAAUGCAAUGAGAAAAUGGAAGGGUAUGAUUGUUUCACUGUUGCAUCAUCCUUCAAUGUAGACAAUUCCCUUUUCCUUUUUUCUUAUUAUUGUAGCCUUUUUAAAAGCAUAGUUGGAUAUAAUUGAUAAAUAAUGGCAAGUAAUGAUAAAGUAACUCCCAGGAUGACGAAACUGCAAAAAUGUUUCAAGAUACAGAGAAAAUAAGAUCAUUAAACUUAUGUUAUGUGUUAGAUUUAUAAAACAGAUCCAGCAGACCAAUAUGGUAAUUGCAAGGUGGAGCAUGAAGUUUCUUACAUUGAGUCUGUGAAUAGAGGUCAAUAAAGAUGAAUCUUAAUUAGAACUAUUGAAAAAUAAGUUGGAUACUAAAUUGGGUCUGAUGAACUGAGGGUUAAAAGCUUUUAAGGUAAAGUGGUCUAGGUUUUCCCAUUGUAUAUAUGAGAAGUUGAAGUGUAUUAUUAAGUGGCACAACCAUCCAUUGCUUGGAAUGGAGGAUGAGAUGUGCUCAAUGCAGUCUUAGUUUCCACAUUCCCCCGGUUGGUGUCUGAGAGCACACUAAAGAUUUGAAUGCCAGUCAGCUUAUGGUCUCUUCUUUAGUUGAUGGUAGGAUGUAGAGAUUGCACUUUUUGGCAACCUUUAAAUUGUGUUUGAUUACAUAAUUUGAACAAAGCAGUGUCAUCCCGGAUACAAUGCUGAUGGUGAGUUUGCAGAAACUUUGACUUAAAGAAUGAUUUUAGGACAUCCUAGCGUUCAUUUGUGCAGCAUGAGUCCAGUGUGUGAGAGUGAGCUGAUCUUGCAGAGGGUAAGGCAGGGUUCAGUAAACCUGUCUAACACAGUGAGCUAGUUGUAGUUGCUGUCAGUGCAUCUCCCUUUUGAGUAUAUAAAAACCUGGGAUUUGGUCUGUUGGUUUUCAGAGAGGAUAUGUAUUCUGUGUUCUUGGAGCUGCUGCAGCAGUUACACUCUUCUUUUAACAUACUUUAGUGUGAAAACUGAAAAAAAUUUAAAAGAGUUUCAUUUGUAAUUAUUCAAUUAUGUAAGAUUUUUAGUACUUUGAUUUUAUUUCCCUCAGUUUCCUCUAGCUUAGUAAAUAAAGACCUGUAAGCUAAGCAAUGACUGUUGAGCACCAGGUAUGUUUGAGGCACUGGAGGAAUGUGAUAUUCAAGGGAAUCCUUUGGUGAAAGAAAAUUUUAAAAAUUUCUUUGUAAUGACACUAACUCAGUCUAGGAAAUACUUAUUUCUUAGGAACUUCAGUGACGCCAGGAAGAGGGAAGUCAUAGUUGGAAGAUACAUAAAUAUGAAUAUAACAGUCUUGGCCUGAAAAAACCUUAGACUUUAUUUGAAAUCCUUAUACUAACAUUUUAGUUUUCAAAGUUAAAAAAAAAAUCGUCAGUAAAGUUUAGGUCGGUGUUACCAUUUAAGUCAUUGGUAAUACCAACAGAGCAAGGCAUAAGCAAUUACAGAACAGGAAAGGGGAACAGAGAAAGGAGUAUUAAGAUGUAGAAGAGGUAAACGUUUAGGACAAGAGAGGCAGCUAUCUGUGAAAUUGUGAAGCUAUGUGAGAUUUGCUUUUUAUUCUUCUACUCUCUUUUAACAUCUGAAUUGUCUUGUAAUAUAAGGUCUGUCCAACCCAAAAGUCUUUAUUGAGUACUAAAGGCAUUGUGCUAAAGGCAUUAUGCUCAUAUCCCUAGAUGGAAAUUGAUUAACCUACUUUUCCAGGGGCAUGUGUGUUUUAAUAGGAAACACAAAGUAGACAUUGUCUAUAAAUGUGUUUAUUUUGGCCAUCAGUGUUUUAUUUAUUUUUUAUUUUUUAAAGUUGUUUUAAUGUUUAUUAUUGAGAGACAGAGAGAGAGACAGAACAUGAGCAUGGGAGGGGCAGAGACAGGAGGAGAUGCAGAAUCUGAAGCAGGCUCCGGGCUCUGAGCUGUCAGCACAGAGCCUGACACGGCGCUCGAACUCAAAAACAGCGAGAUCAUGACCUAAGCUGAAGCCGGACACUUAACCGACUGAGCCACCGAGGCACCCAGGCCUUCAGUGUUUUAAAACUAGGGGAGCUUUUUACAUAAAUUAUGAAUGUUUGGCUUCUCUUUACAAACUGUUUUUCUUACCUCUGUUUAAUUUUGGUGUGUUUCCAGCCUUCAGGUGUUGAGUAGAUGUUGCCCCUUUAGACUGACAGGCAUUCCUGAGUUUGUUACAGACUUAAAACUUCAUGUUGUUCUGAACCCAGCUUACUUUACUCACUUCUCUUACCUGCCCAAGUUCCCAUAGACAUUUCAGUUUGUAACCUUUGCCCUUGAACUCUGAUAAGAUUCAUCAACUAGGAGGGGACUUAACAGAUUUGAGGCUGGUGGCAAUCGUUGAAUAACAUUCUACGAUAGGCACCAAAAAUUGUACUUAGUAAGUUGCUUACUAGUGUCAUCUGCACAUAAGAAAUGCCUUACUUUGGGAAGUGAAGAAAUAACCACUAGUUUCUUUAAAUAACAUAGUUUCCUUAGAUAACAUAUAGUGGCUAGCCCCUUGUUGCGGGUUUUUAAUCCUUAGUUUAGUAUAUAAAAAUAAAUGUUAGUAAAACUCCCUGAGUCUUCUGUCCAGCUUUACAUUGACCCAGCUUCUUUUUUUUAAGCAUUUUGGCAAAUCACUUAGUUUUAUCAUUUAAAAUUAUCAUAAUUUAAGAAAGGGUAUAUAGCAAGAGAUGAAUCUUUGAAGAAAGCAGGAAUGUUAUAUUCAACCAUCCAUACAUACCCUGAAAGAAGGAUAUUUCCACUCGUUAUUUAUUCCUUUAUUAUAUGGUGAAAGGCAAACUUACUUCAUACCAUGUUAUUAAGAAGCCUAAGUCAUAACUAUGACUGUGAAAAAAGUUUUCAGAAUGUUUGCUAAAUGUUCUAAGCAUGGAGGGGAAUACAAAGGUGACUAAUAUAUGAUCUUAUUCAGAUAGCCUAUGGCUUACCAAUUUUAAAACUUAUUCCCGAAUGUAGGCCAGUGAUUUAUCUUGGAGAUCAGUGACCUUGGAAAAAUCUCUAAAAUAUUUAGAUUGGAGUAGGGUUUUACUUCGGAUCAGAUUAUGGCACCCGUUGACAAAGUUUGAAAUUUAACCUCAGUUUUAGGAGAUAAUGUAAAUACUCAGAACAAAUGUGGGGGAGUCGAAGUGAGGUAGGCCCCAUAUCUCCAAGCAUGAGAGAAAUUCAUUUCUGUGAUAUGCGGAGUCAGAGGUUACAGAUGAUGAUGUUCAGAGAGAUUGUUUCCUAGGUUUUGAAAAAAUGGUUUAGAGUUUUGAAUUUGUUCUAAAAGUCCUCCCAGUAACAAUAGCUAGCCUUUAAUUGGUAACACUGUUGUCAUAACUUUAGAAUCAAUAGGAAAUUAAUAGAAAAAAUAGAAUUCGCUUGUAUAGAGAUUUAGAAUAUCCUGGAAUACCUUAUUCUGAGAAAAAUGAGGAUACCUGUAUUUGUGUGUGGUAUUGGGACUACAAACCUAAACCUAUAAAACCUGAAGAAAUCAUAAGCAUUCUCAAUGCAGUAAUUGUCUGCUUUCAAAUGGUAGUUCGGUCACCUGCCUCAGACUUAGAAGAAUCUAACUCUUAACCCCUGUGUAAACACUACUGUCCUGAUGCAGAACUUCUGAAACCAUUUGCUUGUACUUUGUUGAAUCAGGGUUAAGAGGAGUGGAGAGAGAAGCAAGAGCCAGAUAGGUUUAGGUGACUUUCUGACUCUUCUCACUGGAAACUGGUAUGGAUCUGGUGACCCUAGGUCAUGAUUUCCUUGGUCUCAACUGCACUAUCUUUAUUAAAAAUUUUUUUUCAGUGUUUGUUUAUUUUUGAGAGAGAGACAGGGAGAGUGCUAGCGGGAGAGGGGCAGAAAGAGAGAGAAAGAGAGAGGGAGACACAGAACUUGAAGCAGGCAGCACAGAGCCCGUUGCGUGUGAGAUCAUGACUUGAGCCAAAUUCAGACGCCUAACAGACUAAGCCACCAAGGUGCCCCUCAACUUCUCUUUCUUUAAAAGGAAGUAUUAUUACUGUUGGACAUGCCUUCAAAAUGAAACUUCCUCUUUAAAAUAAUAUCUUUUAAUACAUUUAGUAUUUUCUGGGAAAAAAUUCUGAGUUUCUCAGGAAAGUCUUGGAACUGUUCUAGUUACUUGCAGGACGUUUUGAAAACUAUUGAUAAAGUUGUUGGAGUUGAGACACAAUAAAUACUGUGUAAGUUAGAUUUUUUUGGUAAAAUUUUUAAUGCUACGUUAGAAGUAAAAUGCUAAUUUUGCCAAUAAGUUGAAAAAAAAAAAGCAAAGUUUCCAUAGUAACGUUAUCUGUGCCCU
Molecule: long non-coding RNA, 7223 nt
Organism: Acinonyx jubatus (cheetah)
Lineage: Eukaryota; Metazoa; Chordata; Mammalia; Carnivora; Felidae
Exons: 2
Source: RefSeq, a predicted model, not a curated record